AUUCCAGCUCCAAUAGCGUAUAUUAAAGUUGUUGCGAUUAAAAAGCUCGUAGUUGGAUUUCCGCUGAGGACGACUGGUCCGCCCCCUGGGUGAGCAUCUGGUUCGGCCUGGGCAUCUUCUUGGGGAACGUAUCUGCACUUGAUUGUGUGGUGCGGUAUCCAGGACUUUUACUUUGAGGAAAUUAGAGUGUUUCAAGCAGGCAAUUGCAGGAAUACAUUAGCAUGGAAUAACGAAUGGGUCUACAAUUUGGUUGAUUGUAGAUUGCGAUUAAUAGGGACAGUUGGGGGCAUUAGUAUUUAAUUGUCAGAGGUGAAAUUCUUGGACUAGUUAAAGACUAACGUAUGCGAAAGCAUUUGCCAAGGAUGUUUUCAUUA
This 374-nucleotide ribosomal RNA is filed under the name Loxophyllum sp. Its description in RNAcentral is "partial small subunit ribosomal RNA". It matches the Rfam family "Eukaryotic small subunit ribosomal RNA", at positions 582 to 975 of the family's 1831-position model. The record is from RNAcentral. Lineage: Eukaryota; Ciliophora; Litostomatea; Pleurostomatida; Litonotidae.